This 271-nucleotide unclassified non-coding RNA is filed under the name Glomus sp. RNAcentral describes it as "partial contains 5.8S ribosomal RNA and internal transcribed spacer 2". The stretch from base 1 to 65 matches the Rfam family "5.8S ribosomal RNA", at positions 84 to 154 of the family's 154-position model. Lineage: Eukaryota; Fungi; Glomeromycota; Glomeromycetes; Glomerales; Glomeraceae. The record is from RNAcentral.
GUGAAUCAUCAAAUUUUUGAACGCAAAUUGCACUCUCUUCGGAGAGUAUGCCUGUUUGAGGGUCAGCCUAAGAAAAAUCGACAUCGUUGCCGUUUCGCUGUGGCGUUCGUUGGAAAUUGGGUUAUAUUAAAUCUUUGGUUUAAGCGACUUAUAAUUUUCUUUACGAUUCCAUGAACGUUUCCAAGUUUUAUUUCUUUACACGUUGUAGGUAUCGAUCUUAUUAGGCGUGGCCGUCAUAUCGGUUCAAGUCCAUAAUGUUUCGUUACAUGAC